AUUGAACGCUGGCGGCAGGCCUAACACAUGCAAGUCGAGCGGCAGCGGGAAAGUAGCUUGCUACUUUUGCCGGCGAGCGGCGGACGGGUGAGUAAUGCCUGGGAAAUUGCCCAGUCGAGGGGGAUAACAGUUGGAAACGGCUGCUAAUACCGCAUACGCCCUACGGGGGAAAGCAGGGGCUCGUCGGACUUUGCGGGGUUGGAUAUGACCAGGGGGGAUUAGCUAGUUGGUGAGGUAAUGGCUCACCAAGGGGACGAUCCCUAGCUGGUCUGAGAGGAUGAUCAGCCACACUGGAACUGAGACACGGUCCAGACUCCGACGGGAGGCAGCAGUGGGGAAUAUUGCACAAUGGGGGAAACCCUGAUGCAGCCAUGCCGCGUGUGUGAAGAAGGCCUUCGGGUUGUAAAGCACUUUCAGCGAGGAGGAAAGGUUGGCGCCUAAUACGUGUCAGCUGUGACGUUACUCGCAGAAGAAGCACCGGCUAACUCCGUGCCAGCAGCCGCCGUAA
RNAcentral lists this ribosomal RNA (508 nucleotides) under uncultured bacterium. RNAcentral's name for it is "partial 16S ribosomal RNA". It matches the Rfam family "Bacterial small subunit ribosomal RNA", at positions 29 to 523 of the family's 1533-position model. The record is from RNAcentral.